Molecule: ribosomal RNA, 549 nt
Filed under: Diaporthe convolvuli
Lineage: Eukaryota; Fungi; Ascomycota; Sordariomycetes; Diaporthales; Diaporthaceae
Description: eukaryotic LSU rRNA
Rfam family: 5.8S ribosomal RNA (bases 192-345)
Source: RNAcentral
GCGGAGGGAUCAUUGCUGGAACGCGCCUCGGCGCACCCAGAAACCCUUUGUGAACUUAUACCUAUACUGUUGCCUCGGCGCAGGCCGGCCUCCCCACCGAGGCCCCCUGGAGACAGGGAGCAGCCCGCCGGCGGCCAACCAAACUCUUGUUUCUACAGUGGAUCUCUGAGUAAAAAACAUAAAUGAAUCAAAACUUUCAACAACGGAUCUCUUGGUUCUGGCAUCGAUGAAGAACGCAGCGAAAUGCGAUAAGUAAUGUGAAUUGCAGAAUUCAGUGAAUCAUCGAAUCUUUGAACGCACAUUGCGCCCUCUGGUAUUCCGGAGGGCAUGCCUGUUCGAGCGUCAUUUCAACCCUCAAGCCUGGCUUGGUGAUGGGGCACUGCCUGUAAGACGGGCAGGCCCUGAAAUCUAGUGGCGAGCUCGCCAGGACCCCGAGCGUAGUAGUUAUAUCUCGCUCCGGAAGGCCCUGGCGGUGCCCUGCCGUUAAACCCCCAACUUCUGAAAAUUUGACCUCGGAUCAGGUAGGAAUACCCGCUGAACUUAAGCAUA